RNAcentral lists this transfer RNA (77 nucleotides) under Deltaproteobacteria bacterium. RNAcentral describes it as "tRNA-Pro". It matches the Rfam family "tRNA". From Rfam's summary of the family: Transfer RNA (tRNA) molecules are approximately 80 nucleotides in length. Their secondary structure includes four short double-helical elements and three loops (D, anti-codon, and T loops). Further hydrogen bonds mediate the characteristic L-shaped molecular structure. tRNAs have two regions of fundamental functional importance: the anti-codon, which is responsible for specific mRNA codon recognition, and the 3' end, to which the tRNAs corresponding amino acid is attached (by aminoacyl-tRNA synthetases). tRNAs cope with the degeneracy of the genetic code in two manners: having more than one tRNA (with a specific anti-codon) for a particular amino acid; and 'wobble' base-pairing, i.e. permitting non-standard base-pairing at the 3rd anti-codon position. RNAcentral also lists the same sequence under 1 other name. Lineage: Bacteria; Pseudomonadati; Myxococcota; Myxococcia. The record is from RNAcentral.
CGGGGCGUAGCGCAGUCUGGUAGCGCACCAGCAUGGGGUGCUGGGGGUCGGAGGUUCAAAUCCUCUCGCCCCGACCA